CACUCGUAUACGGGUUCGACCUCAGUUGAAGAAAUACGGAACUAAAAUAAACGGCCACCUAGUUGAGUUAUACUGUGGUAGACAAAGUACAGUUUACGUCCUAUAUUGGUUGUAUUUGUGUUACGAAUGUUCCUCUAUAGCCGAGUAAACUAACGAUAUAACCGAAACCAGUGGGAACGCUCCGAGGAAUAGAAACUUCGUUCCCCGCCUACGAGAAACCUGAGUCCUUCUGCUUGUACUAUCUCUUUCUUUCCCUAGUUGGAACGGUACUGGGGUAUAAAGACAUCCGAUUAUAGGGAAUAAACGUGAUAGGAUGUGGCUUAUGAAUAUCCCAAUACACGGAAACGGUACGUCGUGUACAGUUACCGUCAAGUCCUUCUCUACUGUAGUGUUCACUCGAGUUAACUAUUCGGGCGAUCGUCUUUUACACCAAACUCGGACGAGGUUGGGGAGGAGACUACACCACACCACCCUCUUCCUUCUUCUCGUACGUACGAGAGACAGAUGUAGGUCGCAGGUGUGCCGAUCUAGCUGCCCAGAUUUGAUACCGCUGAACUGUUAAGAAGCAGAAAAUGCUGUGCCUAGGCGCCGUGUCAUCCUCUCCACUGCGGCCGGCCGUCGCGGAGUGGCGGUCGAUAACAAACCGCGGCCGUUCCUCUUCCCGCGAAUCCUAGACGACGCAACACGUACCGACAACUUCAAGUCGUAGCGGUACUACACAUAACAAAGAGAUAAAAGGAGUAUAACGGUACAAGGGUUAAAAUGUUUGACGAUACACUACGUGUUACCGGUGCGGUGCGUGACCACUCUAAGUUCCACGUCAGCUCGUUCUCAGUCAAGCUCCACUCCACAGAGUGCAGCUAGAGGACAACGAGUGGUCGCUCCGAGCGACUGCUCGCCGGUCUAGGUGUGCUCCACCUACAGUGUGUGUGCCGGGAGAGGGGAGGUAGGAAAGAGAAAGGAUGUUGAUAAUACAGAAACAUGGAACAAUAUAACGAGAAAGUAGGUACCACUAUUUCUACAAUUGAGUCAAACUAUUACCUCAGUGUCUAAACAUAGACUAUUAAGAACCUUAAGUUUAACAUUGUAGGUAUGAUUAAACAACCAAACAGAGUUGGUUAUUAAGUUACAUUUGGAUAAUUGUACUUAAAAUACCCAUAUGUAACAGAGGAGGAUACGGUUAACUAAAAGAGGUCUAAUCAACCUGGUAUUAAAAGUUCUUCCAAUGUUUGGAUCGUUACUUACUCUGAUAGUAAUACUAACUUCUAUCGACUGACACUGUUAACAAAGAAAACUUCAAAGUGACAAAUACCUCCACUGUUACGAUCUAUAUAUGUAGACAUAGUACCGUGAAGAGGUCGUUUGUUUUCGAACCGUCGGUAGAUGAAAGUCUCUCAAACUUUUGCAUGAUAGUGCGAUUGAGUGAAUAGGUCUAAUUACCAUUCACACACAAAAGAACAUAUGGCUAGAUGUCUUGAUGUUAACUCUAGAGAUGGAGGAGAUAAAGGGAAAACAGUAGAAAAGACCGAAAAUACGAUGAUGAGUUUUACAAACUGAUAAGUUAAUAUUUGCAGUACGUCGUCACGACUGAAAGAAUGAGGGAAAUCUGUACUAAAGGGACAGGUUUGUAAGUCGACUUGGCUGUGAUCGUUAUAACUAGUCGACUUGAACGUCUUCCCCUCUCCAUGAUUUCCUUGUAGAAUGCAUAAAAACCAGAGUAUAAGAAACUCAUGUAUUGAUAGGUAAAUAAUUUUUGAUAUAAACUACCUGUUUAACUUGUUGUGUUAAAUUCCUACUAUUUUUAUUAUUAAAAUUGUUCACCUUCAUUACAUACCAUGGCACAUUUUUACUUUCCAUAUCAAAAGGGUGAGGAGGUUCUACUCAAGUCACGGACACAAAUUUGGUACCUACGUCUCUACCAGUCCAGUUUACUUUACAUACUUAUGAUGAUGUUAACAACUUGUAAACUACUUUAGUCUUCAAUUCAUCUAAUGUAUAUACAUUCAAUCAGAACACCGACUACGAAAGUGGUACUAUUUAUAUUGGGGCUUGCGUAUACGGUUGGUUACAAAUUCGCUGAGUUUCUGUUAUUGAUUACGAUUUAUAACUACGGACGACGAAUCCCCGUGAUAGACCGUACCAAGUUUUCUCUCCAUUAACAUGGACUUCGUCACCUGUGUUGGUAAGGAACGUAAACAUUCUCAACACGUCAUCAUAUUAUUGGCAGAAAGAAACUCCUCGUCACAGCAAUUAAAAGUCAUCUUCAUGUCCAUGUGCAAGGACAAGACGACUGAUUACCUUUUUUUCACUAUUGUCUAAGACAAUAAGUCCCUCGUUCUCGGUUUUAAAGAAGUUGAUCGAAGAGGAUUCAACGGGUGGAGAAAGGAGCCCGUACUGAGGUACCGAACCUUUUCCGUCGUCUUAGUUGUGUUAGUGGAACUAGACCUUCCACCUUACACAAACGAAUCUAGCUUCCUCCUAGGACCGGAGAGGCUCGGGGCCUCCGGGCAACGGAACCAUUUUAUCGAGGAAAUGGUCUGAGGGAACGAGGUACCGGUCUCCGUGGCCCUGACGCACUGCUGCUCGUCUAAGCUUCGUUCGGUAAUUAGUUGAGCCCUACGUUUGAGCGCCGCGCUCCCUCUCUCUUUCACUCCCCCUACACCGACCGACUGGAGCCACAAAGGCCGCCUGGAUGACCAUGAGGCUGGUCUACAUAGGCCGCCGUCGUCAACCCCGAGGCCACCUCAGCCCCGCCGCCGUCCACUGACCUGGCGCGCACCACCUCUUGACCUCCUCUCCCUUGGCUCGGGGUGUGAGUGCUCGGCAAAGAACCUCGCUGAGGAGUGUACGCCGUGCGCCGGCCAUCGGCUGUCGCCUCCAUGUGCGCACCGACUUCGCGAUACCCCCGGUGUUCCGUCCGCCAAGGAAAAAAUAACUAAACAGUACGCACGUACGGAAGGACUAACGAACAACAACGGCUGUGUAAUUCACUAGUGCACAGACAUUAGGUACCGGCAAGAAAGACUCUCUGUCACCCUUAUGUUUAUGACUCUAAACGAAUG
RNAcentral lists this ribosomal RNA (3062 nucleotides) under Triticum aestivum (bread wheat). Its description in RNAcentral is "partial small subunit ribosomal RNA". Lineage: Eukaryota; Viridiplantae; Streptophyta; Magnoliopsida; Poales; Poaceae. The record is from RNAcentral.